GCGAACGGGUGAGUAAUAUAUCGGAACGUACCCAAGAGUGGGGGAUAACGUAGCGAAAGUUACGCUAAUACCGCAUACGAUCUAAGGAUGAAAGCAGGGGAUCUUCGGACCUUGUGCUCCUGGAGCGGCCGAUAUCUGAUUAGCUAGUUGGUGAGGUAAAGGCUCACCAAGGCCACGAUCAGUAGCUGGUCUGAGAGGACGACCAGCCACACUGGAACUGAGACACGGUCCAGACUCCUACGGGAGGCAGCAGUGGGGAAUUUUGGACAAUGGGCGAAAGCCUGAUCCAGCAAUGCCGCGUGAGUGAAGAAGGCCUUCGGGUUGUAAAGCUCUUUUGUCAGGGAAGAAACGGUGAGGGCUAAUAUCCUUCACUAAUGACGGUACCUGAAGAAUAAGCACCGGCUAACUACGUGCCAGCAGCCGCGGUAAUACGUAGGGUGCAAGCGUUAAUCGGAAUUACUGGGCGUAAAGCGUGCGCAGGCGGUUUUGUAAGUCUGACGUGAAAUCCCCGGGCUCAACCUGGGAAUUGCGUUGGAGACUGCAAGGCUAGAAUCUGGCAGAGGGGGGUAGAAUUCCACGUGUAGCAGUGAAAUGCGUAGAGAUGUGGAGGAACACCGAUGGCGAAGGCAGCCCCCUGGGUCAAGAUUGACGCUCAUGCACGAAAGCGUGGGGAGCAAACAGGAUUAGAUACCCUGGUAGUCCACGCCCUAAACGAUGUCUACUAGUUGUCGGGUUUUAAUUAACUUGGUAACGCAGCUAACGCGUGAAGUAGACCGCCUGGGGAGU
RNAcentral lists this ribosomal RNA (786 nucleotides) under Oxalobacteraceae bacterium. Its description in RNAcentral is "bacterial SSU rRNA". It matches the Rfam family "Bacterial small subunit ribosomal RNA", at positions 98 to 881 of the family's 1533-position model. Lineage: Bacteria; Pseudomonadati; Pseudomonadota; Betaproteobacteria; Burkholderiales; Oxalobacteraceae. The record is from RNAcentral.